Molecule: long non-coding RNA, 3616 nt
Filed under: Cucumis sativus (cucumber)
Lineage: Eukaryota; Viridiplantae; Streptophyta; Magnoliopsida; Cucurbitales; Cucurbitaceae
Description: long non-coding RNA (CSAT_LNC000725)
Source: RNAcentral
CUACAGGAAAAAGUAUGAAAACGGGAUCACUAUCCACAAGCUUGUGGAGAGGGUUGGAAGUGAGAACGAAAACCACCCGUUUUUCUGAAGAAAGUGAUGGGAAAUUACCCCAAGAAGUAAAAACUGACAGAAAAGAGAAGAGAAGAGAAGAUGGGAAAAAUAUGGGAGACAUCGAUCUUAUCCAUUAACAAAAAGUACGUUUUGGCGCAAGAACAGAGCGUUGACGCUCAAAGGUUGGUGACAAUGACCGGAACCAUAGCGCGGUUCGUGGCACGGCGUUAGGCCCGUUGUCAAUUGUAUUGGCCCACGUGUUACGAAGCCUUGUAAUCCAGGAAAGCCCAUGGGCUGCCGUAACUACGUAAUCUUAUUUUCGAUUGAUUUUGUUAUAUUUAAAAAUAGUUUCAUAUUUAGUUAAAAUAUGUUUCGGUAAUUGAAAAAAUAAUCAAACGAAAAGACCAGCAAGUCAAAUUAUAUUUAAUUAAAAUAUUUACAACUUUUAUUGUAAAUUUAAAUUUGUUAUUAGUAAAAAACACAAAUAUUCUAAAAAUUAUUAAAUUUUAUUUUUUGAAAGUCACCCUAAAAGUAUAAUCAUUAUUUGUUUAUAGUAAGACGUGAAUCUAUCCCUAAAAAGUUUGUAUGAGUAAAGAAUUAUAGUGAGACUUAUUCUAAGACCGUUAUAUGCAAACAAAAAAUAGGACAGUCUACUCUAAUUUUUUUACUGUCGAGAUUUGUUUUGUUAUAUGCUCAGCCAAGUAAACAUAAAAAACAAGUCACAUUUUCGAAAAAAUAAAAGAUAAGUCAUUGGUCCAAUUUUGUAUUUAUCUUUUCCUAAUCUUACGUUUUUAGUAAAAUUGAUAGUGUAAAUCGUGUGCAUAUUAAACAUAUCAUAUUCGUAAAAUUAGGUUAGAGGAUUUGUGGAUCAGAGUCAAUUUCUCGACUAAAAUGACACCGACUAUAAAAGACUCCAAACCAACACCUUGUCUUUAUCUUCUAUCAACCACCUUCGAUUCGAUCAACUCGAUUUUCAAUCUAUCAGCACAAUACCAAGAUUCUAAAAUGAACUAAUGUGAAGAUUCCUAUGAAGAAUAGUUUCAUGAUAGACAAUAAUGAAGAGAAUAUUGUAAAUUCUCGUAUAAUGUAAUUGAUAGAAAGAAUGUUAUUUAUAGCCACGUGUUAAUUCGUAGUCAAUUGUUGAGUCAAAAAAUGAAUUGGAAGGCUCAUUUUCAAUUUUGGAUUGCCUAAUAUUUGACUUUAGAGACCAAAAGGUUUAUCAUAUAGUAAGGAUAUGUAUUAAUUUAAUGGCCCUUUAUAUAUAGGUCGGUUGGACAAGAUUGUGAGGAUUUAUUAUCAAAUCACUUUAUAAUGAUAUUUCAACCUUUACCACCCAUACAUUAAACACAAUAAUCAAAACUAAAAACAUAAAUAAUAAAACCAUAUUCCCACUCAACUUAAUCAUAUUUCUAUAUUCCUCUACUCAAUUUCACGUUUAAUUCAUUUUUUAAAAUUAAGUAUUUAUUUAAUCUAUAAAUGUAUUGAAUCCAAUCAGUAUAUAACUAUUUUUGGGAUUUUUAGAUUUUGCUUAAAUUUAAAAAUAAUUUCAAAACUACUAAGUUAUAAAACUCAAUUAUGAAAUAUAUGUAUCUUUUUAUAUCGUAUACAAACGCUACAAAUUUAUAUGAAAGAUUUUUCAUGCAUAUAUUAAAAUUAAAAUAGUUGUAUUCACUUAUAUAUUCAAGAUCGUAUUCAUUAAUCAAUUCUAAACUAUUAUUAUUGGUCUUAAUUUAACUUAGACAUCGUUUAAUAAUCUCAUAUUAUUUGACAUUUUUUCAAACGGUAAAUAUCUUUAUUUAUUUUAUUUUAAUUAUUUUCAACUUACAUACUUUUUUGCUCAAUUGAGCUCUAUCCAUUCUCUCUUCAUAGAUGCAACUUUUCAAAUAGUUUAGGGUAAAUUACAAGUUUAAUAUUAAAAAAUUAAGAUUUUACCCUAAUUUGGUAUCUAAAUUUUUAAAAAUUAGGUAACUAAACUUCCACAAAUAUUAUAUAGUCAAGUUUACAUUUAAUAAGCCUUUUGAUUUAAGAUUUAAAUUUUUGAUAUUAAUGAUAAUGUCGAUCUUAAUUUUACGAUAAUAAAAAUAUUGUAAAAGUACGUGAACAUCCAAAUACUUGUAUCAAUUUUAAAGAAGAAGUUACAAUUUAUUAUUUUAUAAACAAAUUAACAAGUUUAUUACUUAGAUUCUAUCUACCUAAGUAACCAUUGUUAUGAUUUUUUUUACAUAUUUAAAUGUCUACAAAAAGAAAAAAAAACAAUUCAAAUUUAUAUCUAAUUCAUUACUUAUUGUAAACUUGAAAGAUUAGCUCAUCUAAUUGGCCACUAAUUUGAAAAGUUUUUGACAAAUUGAAAGUUAAGCAAUUUAUUAGAUAAUACAAAAUCAAUAGUGUUUAUAAAAAUUCAACUAAGCCCACUCUUCUCCAUGUCUUCCUUUUUGAUUCCCAAUCAAUCAAUCUCAAGAAACAGCAACACUAGAGUUUGAUUGGAUGAACCACUAACAAAAAAAUAAAAUGAUGUUAGAACAAUCUUUGUUUUUUCUGGUUUCAGUGUGAAAAAGAAACAUGAAAUCUUGAAGAGAAAGUAAAUACAAAGAUUUGGACGAAAGGAAAAGCAAUUGAACAUGAAUUUGAAAGUGAAGUUUCCAAUCCAAAUUUCAUUUCUUUUAACCUAAUCCAAUCAAAUACAACAACAAUACAAUUUACCCACAAAAAUCAAAGAAACGAAACCCAGAGAUUUUUCUUCAGGUUUUUCAGAUUCCCAAAUUCCAAAAAGAAAAAAAGAAAAAACCCAUCAAAUUGUUUUUUGAUUUUUGUUUACCCAUUAGCUACUUUUUCUGGGUUUGUUCUUUCGCCUUCCUCUGCUUCUCGAACCAUCCCCUGUUUUGGGUUCUUCUUCUUUCGAACCUUCUAUCAUGGAACCCAGCGCCGCUUCAUCCACAGUGCCUUUAAUUUUCUUCUCCGGUGGAUUUUCUGCAACUUCCAGCAACGGCGGCGGCGGCUUCUUGCUCUCCUGCUCGUUUUGUUGUUCCUCGAGAACCUUACGAGGUCGGCCCCUUUUUCUAGGCUGUAUGGGUUGGCCGAUGAUACCAUCAUCGGCUAAUUUGGAGGUGGAGGUUUCAGCUAUGGCGACUGCAAUCUCCUUAGUUUUCUGGGUUUUUUUCUUACCCAUCAAACAAACGAGGAAACGGAAGAGAAAUUAAGGGACCCAAAUGAAAACCCACAGAAUCGGAAGGUUUGUUCAAUAGAAAAUCGAAGCGAAAUCCAUCGGCGGAGUUUGGAAGAAAGGGGAAGAAGGGGGAAAAGUUGGAGAAAAGUAGUAGUAGAAGAAGAAAACAAAAACGUCAAAUCUUUGUAGCCAAUCCACUGCUGCAAAAUUCUACUAUGGCUCUAAAAAAAGGGGGCGAUUGUGAGAAGAGCCCUACUAUACAGCACAGACCGAGUUGAAAUGGGAGUUUUGAUGGCCUUUGGGGGGAUUUUGAUUCAUUCAUUCAUUGCAUUUUUGGGGAAACUAACCCUUUUUGGAACAAAAGGGUCUCUCAUGGACUCAAUUUUAGGCUAAUGAUAUCUU